Molecule: long non-coding RNA, 1552 nt
Organism: Hylaeus anthracinus
Lineage: Eukaryota; Metazoa; Arthropoda; Insecta; Hymenoptera; Colletidae
Exons: 3
Source: RefSeq, a predicted model, not a curated record
GACUCGAGUGUUCAAAUCUCUUAUCGCAAACCGCGAAGCGUGGUACUCCGCGAAGCAGUCGUGCGUUUUCCUUCAACACAGCCCUGACGAACGUUAGUCGGUUCUCGUGUGUCGUCGACGCGAUGCCACCGGAUACACGGAGUAUCGAAUUCAAGCCCGGUCGCUCGGGAGUCGAUAAUCAGUCUGCGAAAGAACCUUGAGAUCGUUCGCGUUCGAUCGAGGAUCGAAAUCUAACCUGGUACAUCGCGACAUUCCUCGUCGUUGCUGUUUCACGCUUCUCCUAGCUCGUUGGACAUCCACGGUUCCGUCGUGUUUACUCUCCUUUCAGCGGAAUCCUGUUACGACGAUCAACCACGCACAGGAUUAGUGGCAGGGUGCGAAACACGUGCGCGGGCUUGCGGUCGAAUUCGAGAUUCGAGGGAUCGAAAGGCGCGCGCGAACGCCUUCCAGUUGUCCCGCGCACGUUAACGAGGAUGCGUCGAAGCGGCUCCUAGCUGUCCGAGCAGUUUGAACUGUUUGAUGUGUCGUCGUCGCGUUCGCGCGAGUCGUCGCGACGCCUGAGGACUCGACGCCGGGAUUAUUCUCCGCUUGGCGUGAUUGCUGGGCUGCGGAAAAAGGGAGGCAAGUGUUCGAGUUCGGGGCAGCGACACUUCGACGAAAAUGAACGGCGUCCAGCGAAUGCCCACCGACGCCUUCGACGUCAAGUUUUGUUUUCAGGUGCACCAGUUUGAAGAAAUCUUGCUCACCGCAAACCAACUGGCUACCCACGCCAUCGCCUGUUACGACGAAAUGAAUUAACCUUUUUUUAAAACAAAAAUUCUUUUAUAGUUCUUUAAGACACGCUUUGUAAUAUAUUUACGUUUCAUUAAUAAAAAUUAUUAUUUAAUACCAUAAAAAAAAACACACAAGAAACUAUCCGUAUCCAUUUUCCUGACUGCGAUUAACCCCUUAAGAGAUACUUGCGAAGACAUCACCUAGAAUACACAAGUAUCACAAAUCUAGGUACCUAGAUACCUGUAUUUCCAAGCUAGACCCGCGUUGAACGUCGUUGAAGCGAACUGGGGGUCUCAGGAGCAAUCGCCUCGCGCAAGGCCGACGUAAAAGCUCUAAUUCAAUUUAAUCUACCGCUACACCGUUAAGCGGUUAGCGGCGUGUGUCACAAUUGUUCAGCACUGGUUCGCGAUAUAGCGGUGAGUCACCCGAACCCGAAGGUUUCCCGUUCUACCGGUGAACGCUGGACCCUGCACCGUUGCUUGGAGUUCUGUCGAAACGCAGACCUUCGCGUAAAUCGGGCUUAUCGAAUCGCGUGACCCUCCGCGCGGCCGCCAUUACUCUUUGCUGCACGGUAGCCAGCUUGCGUCAACACCUAGGAAAUGUCCAUUUGCGAACAGUGGUUGACGUUGGUCGACGUUGGUUGACGUCCACUUGCUUCGACUUGCUCUAGAUAGUUCUGGAAAAUUCAGAGCAACCGUAAAAGCGGAGUUUCUGGUUACAGGUUUGCAAGCAUCGAGAGUAGAGACCAUCUUGUUCAAGCCCUGUUGGUCUUCGAUAG